CAGUGGGGAAUAUUGGACAAUGGGCGGAAGCCUGAUCCAGCAACGCCGCGUGAGGGAUGACGGCCUUCGGGUUGUAAACCUCUUUCAGUGCAGACGAAGCGCAAGUGACGGUAUGCACAGAAGAAGGACCGGCCAACUACGUGCCAGCAGCCGCGGUAAUACGUAGGGUCCGAGCGUUGUCCGGAAUUAUUGGGCGUAAAGGGCUCGUAGGCGGUCUGUUGCGUCGGGAGUGAAAACCCAGGGCUUAACCCUGGGCCUGCUUUCGAUACGGGCAGACUAGAGGCAUUCAGGGGAGAACGGAAUUCCUGGUGUAGCGGUGAAAUGCGCAGAUAUCAGGAGGAACACCGGUGGCGAAGGCGGUUCUCUGGGAAUGUUCUGACGCUGAGGAGCGAAAGUGUGGGGAGCGAACAGGAUUAGA
Molecule: ribosomal RNA, 418 nt
Filed under: uncultured bacterium
Lineage: Bacteria
Description: bacterial SSU rRNA
Rfam family: Bacterial small subunit ribosomal RNA
Source: RNAcentral